This is a long non-coding RNA of Corythoichthys intestinalis (scribbled pipefish), 2376 nucleotides long. RefSeq lists it as uncharacterized. The transcript has 3 exons. NCBI's taxonomy places the organism in Eukaryota, Metazoa, Chordata, Actinopteri, Syngnathiformes, Syngnathidae. The record is from RefSeq and is a predicted model, not a curated record.
CUGAAAACAUACAGUGGCAAAGUUUGCAAAGCCCAUCAAGGAUCUCUCUGAAAUGGCUGUCCAUUGGAGGCAGAACCUUCAACUCUAUCUUCUUGAAGUCAUCUGGGCACUCAUCCUUCAGAAUAUGGACCAGAUCAGCAUGAUGUCAAAGAUGGCAUCACAGACUAAUUAAUAGGGAGAGAUGUACCCUUGCUUGAGCCAGCUGUCAGCCAUUGCGUUGACAGUGCCCAUCUCAACAGUGAACUGUGAGAGAGAUUUCUCUGCAACGAAUAGAGUAAAGACAGACCUUAAAACAUCCAGGAAAAUCAAGUGCAAGCAGGAUGCAAAAUUUGCAAAUAGAUCUUUGUUGUGGUUGUUCUUGGAAAAAAAUUAAUGUUGUUAAAAAAAAAUGUUAUUUGUCAUGAUACGAAAAAAUUUUGCUGCGGCACGCUUUCCGACUCCGAUGCAGCCCACCACCACCGCAGCUUCAAAAAAUCCUGGGGGAAACCCUGCGCAAUGUUACUGGUCGCAUAUGUGCAAGUAGAUGAAAAAAAAUAUGAAAAAAAAAAUACUUGCACUGGCUCUAAUAUUAGUCGCAAAAUGCGACCAUUUGGUCACAGUGGAACCCUGUACAACCAUCGCGCAUCAACAAAAUCCCCAGUCUACCCACCUGCCGCUCAUCCCCUAAUUUUGUAUCGAAGUGCAUCCGAAACAUUUGUGCUAACAAGUGAACAUUUAACCAUGUCAGUCGACAUGUUUAUAUUUUUAAUGUCUGUCUUGUAUUUUGUCUAAGAAGCAAGGAACGCAAUUUUGAUUCUUUUAUAUGGCAAUGUACAUGUGGAGAAUUGACAACUAAACUAUUGAAACUUGAAAAGUGUGUGCAUGUUAGCAAUCUUUGUAAAGAGUACAGGCAUUCAAGUUCUACAAUCUGGUAAAUGCUUGUAUGUAAAUAACAUCGUUUUUCUUCUUUUCCUGUCAGCUUUUCCCUUCAGGGGUCGCCACAGCGAAUCAGUUGUCUCCAUCUAACCCUGUCCUCUGCAUCCUUCGCUCUUACACCAACUACCUUCAUGACCUCUUUAACUACUAGAGGUGUGCAAAAUUUCCGAUUCUUAGAUUAUUCGCCCGUGGAUUCGGCCGUGGAAGAUUCGAGAACGAUUCACAAACAUCCAAAUUCCGAUUAUUGAAAUAUGCCAAGUAAAGCGGAAGUACAACACACUCAGCGCGCCGCGCGGUCUUCGGGACAAUGAGGAACCGAGCGAGAUGCUUCUCAUUACCCGGCCCCUCGGCUAAUGCCAAUGCUCAACUCACGGCUCUAGCUCAACUCAUGCCACGAGAUAAAAAAAACACAACAACAUACCUGACUGCUGCCGAAAAGCUGCUACAAAGUACAUCCACAUAAUGUUACGGUAGAUAUAAUUUAUAUAGGACUAGAUGCAAUAUAGAUUCGGUAGCGUUAGCAGCACAUCUACAAAAAGCUAGAUGCGGCCGUUAGUAAACUGCCGCCAUCUUAUAGCAGUACACUUACCUGCAAGGCUGUUGUAGCGAACCUUCCAAGCAAACCUAAUUAACUUUUUAUCUAAAAUACUCCUAAAUCGGUAAAAUAUUGACUUGAAUCUAUCUUUAAAAUAGUUUUAAAACUUUCACAUGUCGAAAGUAGACAAAAGGGAAAUUAUGGAAUAACGGGAGCAAUUUUAACAACUUUAACGGUUGAUUCAAAACAUUAAAUUAAUUGAAUGUAGUUUAAAGCUGCUGAUACAGAAUGGGGACUGGAGUUUUUUAUUUACUGUUAUUUUUGUAUAUUUUUUUUACUGCUAUAUGUUAACUUGAUACUGAAAUAGUAGUUUGGUUUAGCCUGAGAGUAUUUUUGAACAAUUUUGGAACUAAUGUACAAAACAUUAAAAAAAAAAAUUUUUUUUUAAAGGAGGGGGGUGCAUCAAUAAUCGUUUUAUAAUCGAAUCGGAGCCUCUGAAUCGUAAUCGUAAUCGAAUCGUUAGGUGCCCAAAGAUUCCCAGCUCUAUUAACUACAUCCACAAACCUCCUCUUUGGUCUUCCUCUAGACCUCCUGCCUGGCAUAAAGAAAUUCAGCAGCCUUUUGCCAAUAUACUCACUAUCUUGCACUUUUAUUUAUUUAAUUUUCAAUGAUCUCUGUAUUUUUUCCUAAGCGGAUUUUUCUUUGUGUGUGUGUUUGACCAGUUCUCACCGGUUGUCAAGAGCGGAAUAAACCCUGUUUUUUCAUCAAACUUUGCUCAUUGCAACAUCCGGAGGGAGCUUCAGAAAUAUUACUUAGGGGUAGGCAUGUGCCGGUAUGAGAUUUUGACGGUACGAUAACCGUGAGCAACAAUACCGCGGUUUCACGGUAUCACGGUAUUGCAAAUACAGCUCCAAAAUUUUGAGAUG